This 253-nucleotide ribosomal RNA is filed under the name uncultured bacterium. Its description in RNAcentral is "partial 16S ribosomal RNA". It matches the Rfam family "Bacterial small subunit ribosomal RNA", at positions 524 to 776 of the family's 1533-position model. The record is from RNAcentral.
UACGUAGGCAGCAAGCGUUGUUCGGAAUUACUGGGCGUAAAGAGUGUGUAGGCGGUGUUCUAAGUCUGUUGUGAAAUCUCCCGGCUUAACUGGGAGGGUGCGGCGGAAACUGGAAUGCUAGAGGAUGGGAGAGGUAAGCGGAAUUCCUGGUGUAGCGGUGAAAUGCGUAGAUAUCAGGAGGGACACCUGUGGUGUAGACAGCUUACUGGACCAUUUCUGACGCUGAGACACGAAAGCGUGGGUAGCAAACAGG